CUCUUAUCCUGAGCCGGUGGAGGGACAGGCCCUACGAAGCCCGGCAACCUGCUGAAUAGCGACAAUUUUCAGAAAAGGUGCCAACCUGACGCAAGGCGAUUGCCUUGAACGAUAAGAG
Molecule: non-coding RNA, 118 nt
Filed under: Bacillus sp. (in: firmicutes)
Lineage: Bacteria; Bacillati; Bacillota; Bacilli; Caryophanales; Bacillaceae
Also listed under: 1 other name
Description: Bacillus sp. SAM-I sequence
Rfam family: SAM riboswitch aptamer (S box leader)
About the family: The SAM riboswitch is found upstream of a number of genes which code for proteins involved in methionine or cysteine biosynthesis in Gram-positive bacteria. The SAM riboswitch acts at the level of transcription termination control.
Source: RNAcentral